CAAAUUAGAUCUUGUUAAAGAAUUUUAUUUACAUUAAAAAGAAAAUUGAUUAAUCAAUUUAAUUUGA
RNAcentral lists this transfer RNA (67 nucleotides) under Pediacus sp. MJ-2020. RNAcentral's name for it is "tRNA-Val". Lineage: Eukaryota; Metazoa; Arthropoda; Insecta; Coleoptera; Cucujidae. The record is from RNAcentral.